GUACACUCCUGCGGGAGGCAGCAGUGAGGAAUAUUGAACAAUGGGUGGAAGCCUGAUCCAGCCAUCCCGCGUGCAGGAAGACGGCCCUAUGGGUUGUAAACUGCUUUUAUCUGGGGAUAAACCUACUUACGUGUAAGUAGCUGAAGGUACCAGAAGAAUAAGCACCGGCUAACUCCGUGCCAGCAGCCGCGGUAAUACGGAGGGUGCAAGCGUUAUCCGGAUUUAUUGGGUUUAAAGGGUCCGUAGGCGGACUGAUAAGUCAGUGGUGAAAUCCGACAGCUUAACUGUCGAACUGCCAUUGAUACUGUUAGUCUUGAGUAAGGUUGAAGUGGCUGGAAUAAGUAGUGUAGCGGUGAAAUGCGUAGAUAUUACUUAGAACACCAAUUGCGAAGGCAGGUCACUAAGUCUUAACUGACGCUGAUGGACGAAAGCGUGGGGAGCGAACAGGAUUAGAAACCCCGGUAGUCCC
Molecule: ribosomal RNA, 469 nt
Filed under: uncultured organism
Description: partial 16S ribosomal RNA
Rfam family: Bacterial small subunit ribosomal RNA
Source: RNAcentral